GGCAAGGGGUAAGCCUUAUGAAAUUUUCGAGUUGAAAAUUUUUUUGAAAUUUUUUUCUGAUUUUUUAUUCUUUUUUCAAUUUAAAACAUUAUUUGAGUGAAAAGAAACUUAUUGCAACCAAUUGGCAUUAAAAUAAAUCAAUUUAAAUUUUUUUGCAAAAUUUCUCAAAAAAAUGGCAAGGGGUAAGCCUUAUGAAAUUUUCGAGUUGAAAAUUUUUUAAAAUUUUUUUUCUGAUUUUUUAUUCUUUUUUUAAUUUAAAGCAUUAUUUGAGUGAAAAGAAACUUAUUGCAACAAAUUCCCAUCAAAAUAUAUCGCAUUUAAAAAUUUUGCUACAUUGCUCAAAAAUGAGGAAAAUUUAACAUUUUCUCAAACAGGGUAAGGAACUUGGUUCCUCGAAUAACUUCUGGCACAGACAUCUGAGGGCAUGGCUGUCCAAGAAGAAAAUGUAGCCAUUGGUGCCAUCUAUCGACCACAGGUUAAAGAUUGGCGAUCCGUUGGAUACCGACCGAGUUAUAGGCAAAAUUUGGUGCAAAAAUGAGGAAAAUUUUACAUUUUCUCAAACAGGGUAAGGGACUUGGUUCCUCGAAUAACUUCUGGCACAGACUUCUGAGGGCAUGGCUGUCCAAGAAGAAAAUGUAGCCAUUGGUGCCAUCUAUCGACCACAGGUUAAAGAUUGACGAUUCGUUGGAUACCGACCGAGUUAUAGCCAAAAUUUGGUGCAAAAAUGAGGGAAAUUUUCAUUUUUUUUUUAAUUUUUUGAUUUUUUUAUUAUUUUUCACUCUUUUUUUUAUUUCAAGCAUUAUUUGAGUGAAAAGAAACUCAUUGCAACCCAUUGGCAUUAAAAUAAAACAAUUUAAUUUUUUUUGCAAAAUUUCCCAAAAAAAUCGUAAGGGGUAAGCCUUAUGAAAUUUUCAAGUUGAAAAUUUUUUAAAAUUUUUUUCUGAUUUUUUAUUCUUUUUUUAAUUUAAAACAUUAUUUGAGUGAAAAGAAACUUAUUGCAACAAAUUCCCAUCAAAAUAUAUCGCAUUUAAAAAUUUUGCUACAUUGCUCAAAAAUGAGGAAAAUUUAACAUUUUCUCAAACAGGGUAAGGAACUUGGUUCCUCGAAUAACUUCUGGCACAGACAUCUGAGGGCAUGGCUGUCCAAGAAGAAAAUGUAGCCAUUGGUGCCAUCUAUCGACCACAGGUUAAAGAUUGACGAUUCGUUGGAUACCGACCGAGUUAUAGCCAAAAUUUGGUGCAAAAAUGAGGGAAAUUUUCAUUUUUUUUUUAAUUUUUUGAUUUUUUUAUUAUUUUUCACUCUUUUUUUUAUUUCAAGCAUUAUUUGAGUGAAAAGAAACUCAUUGCAACCCAUUGGCAUUAAAAUAAAACAAUUUAAUUUUUUUUGCAAAAUUUCCCAAAAAAAUCGUAAGGGGUAAGCCUUAUGAAAUUUUCAAGUUGAAAAUUUUUUAAAAUUUUUUUCUGAUUUUUUAUUCUUUUUUUAAUUUAAAACAUUAUUUGAGUGAAAAGAAACUUAUUGCAACAAAUUCCCAUCAAAAUAUAUCGCAUUUAAAAAUUUUGCUACAUUGCUCAAAAAUGAGGAAAAUUUAACAUUUUCUCAAACAGGGUAAGGAACUUGGUUCCUCGAAUAACUUCUGGCACAGACAUCUGAGGGCAUGGCUGUCCAAGAAGAAAAUGUAGCCAUUGGUGCCAUCUAUCGACCACAGGUUAAAGAUUGGCGAUCCGUUGGAUACCGACCGAGUUAUAGGCAAAACUUGGUGCAAAAAUGAGGAAAAUUUGACAUUUUCUCAAACAGGGUAAGGAACUUGGUUCCUCGAAUAACUUCUGGCACAGACAUCUGAGGGCAUGGAUGUCCAAGAAGAAAAUGUAGCCAUUGAUGCCAUCUAUCGACCACAGGUUAAAGAUUGGCGAUCCGUUGGAUACCGACCGAGUUAUAGGCAAAACUUGGUGCAAAAAUGAGGAAAAUUUUACAUUUUCUCAAACAGGGUAAGGAACUUGGUUCCUCGAAUAACUUCUGGCACAGACAUCUGAGGGCAUGGCCGUCCAAGAAGAAAAUGUAGCCAUUGGUGCCAUCUAUCGACCACAGGUUAAAGAUUGGCGAUCCGUUAGAUACCGACCGAGUUAUAGGCAAAACUUGGUGCAAAAAUGAGCCUUAGGAAAUUUUCAAAUUUUUAAUUUUUUUUAUUUUUUUAUUA
This is a long non-coding RNA of Anopheles funestus (African malaria mosquito), 2194 nucleotides long. RefSeq lists it as uncharacterized. NCBI's taxonomy places the organism in Eukaryota, Metazoa, Arthropoda, Insecta, Diptera, Culicidae. The record is from RefSeq and is a predicted model, not a curated record. The transcript has 3 exons.